This is a long non-coding RNA of Aquila chrysaetos chrysaetos, 833 nucleotides long. RefSeq lists it as uncharacterized. Lineage: Eukaryota; Metazoa; Chordata; Aves; Accipitriformes; Accipitridae. The record is from RefSeq and is a predicted model, not a curated record. The transcript has 3 exons.
GGGGGACGACGACGGCCUGCCGGGGGGUCGGCGCGGUGGCUUCCCACCGGCGGGCCUCCGUCCCGCCGCGUCGCCCGUAGGCCCCGCGCGAGGCUUCGGCCUGGCGGGCCCGGCCGCUCCCGCGGCGUUUCCUCCGGGCCGGGCUGGCGCGGCCUUUCCUCCUGUUGGGCCUCUUCUGCGGGGCGGAGGAGGCGCUCGUGACCGACUAAGCAGGGCUGCUUUAUGGACAGAACCCUUCUGGGCACAACCUUGCAAAGUACACGAUUUCCACCUGAAAAUUGGGCUUAUAUGUGGAUGACAUCGUGUUCAAUAAGAGAAGCACGAAAAGUUUAUUUGGCUGAUCUCCUGCAGGCAUCUGCCACAUACGACUUCGAGCUGGUCGCCUUGCGGGGGGUCAUUUAGAGAGUAUCUAGUAGCAUCUCAGGAUGUCUGUCCUAGGGAAUGCGAUGCUAAAGACAACAUCAGUAGUUCAAUGGGCUGUGAUGCUCUGCAGACCCUUCCUGUGAGCUGAUUCAACACACUAAAGCAAUGGAAAAGUAAACAAGCAAAAAUGAUUCUGCCCUUUUUGUGUCGAGAGAGCACCACAGCCCAGAGGAGGCAGGGAUUGGGUCGCGUGGCUGGGAGCGAUGCAGGGGAAGAGGGAUGGGGUUGAUCUAAGCAAGAGUUUUCCUCUUGGUAGCAGCAAGUUGUUAUACGGUAUCUCCUUCUCAAACCCUGCCUCCAGCCUGAGAUGUGUGAUCUGCUGAGAGUUCAGCUGGUCCCUCUAGGAAGGCAUCUGAGAAAAAAAGCAGAAGAGCCAAUGCCAGCCGGCUCCAAGGCGGACCCGCUGCUGG